GAUGAACGCUGGCGGCGUGCCUAAUACAUGCAAGUCGAGCGAACAGACGAGGAGCUUGCUCCUCUGACGUUAGCGGCGGACGGGUGAGUAACACGUGGAUAACCUACCUAUAAGACUGGGAUAACUUAGGGAAACCGGAGCUAAUACCGGAUAAUAUAUUGAACCGCAUGGUUCAAUAGUGAAAGACGGUUUUGCUGUCACUUAUAGAUGGAUCCGCGCCGCAUUAGCUAGUUGGUAAGGUAACGGCUUACCAAGGCAACGAUGCGUAGCCGACCUGAGAGGGUGAUCGGCCACACUGGAACUGAGACACGGUCCAGACUCCUACGGGAGGCAGCAGUAGGGAAUCUUCCGCAAUGGGCGAAAGCCUGACUGAGCAACUCCGCGUGAGUGAUGAAGGUCUUCGGAUCGUAAAACUCUGUUAUUAGGGAAGAACAAAUGUGUAAGUAACUAUGCACGUCUGGACGGUACCUAAUCAGAAAGCCACGGCUAACUACGU
RNAcentral lists this ribosomal RNA (496 nucleotides) under uncultured bacterium. RNAcentral's name for it is "partial 16S ribosomal RNA". It matches the Rfam family "Bacterial small subunit ribosomal RNA", at positions 28 to 506 of the family's 1533-position model. The record is from RNAcentral.